AAGCUCCAAUCUUCCCAGAGCGGAGCGCAUUUGUUCGCCACAAAACCAAGCGCCUUCGGGCGUCCAGUGUUGACUCAGAACAACUAAGCUGAUCGCACGAUCCUUACCUGUGAUGUGUCUGUCAAGUGUCUGCCUGGAAAAACUUUUGUUGGAUCACUCUCCUUACUUCCAUGGUGAUGACGGGUAACGGAGGAUAAGGGUUCGACUCCGGAGAAGGGGCCUGAGAAAUGGCAACUACGUCUAAGGAUGGCAGCAGGCCCGCAAAUUACCCACUCUCAACAUGAGGAGGUAGUGACGAGAAAUAACGAGACCGAUCUCUUAUGAGGCCGGUUAUCGGAAUGGGUACAAUUUAAACCCUUUAACGAGGAUCUGUGAGAGGGCAAAUCUGGUGCCAGCAGCCGCGGUAAUUCCAGCUCUCAAAAUGCAUAGAAUUAUUGCUGCGGUUAAAAAGCUCGUAGUUGGAUCUGUGCUAGCCGGCCGGUCCACCCACUGGGUGUGCACUGGUUCGGUUGGCUUUUCUGCCGGUCUCUCCCCGGCGUUGGCCUUCACUGGUCGGCGUCGGUGGGCUGGCGAGUUUACUUUGAACAAAUCAGAGUGCUUCAAACAGGCGUUUCGCUUGAAUGUUCGUGCAUGGAAUAAUAGAAGAGGAUUUCGGUCCGAUUUUAUUGGUUUUGCUGACCGAGAUAAUGGUUAACAGAGACAAACGGGGCCAUUCGUAUUGCUA
This 724-nucleotide ribosomal RNA is filed under the name Globodera pallida. Its description in RNAcentral is "SSU rRNA". It matches the Rfam family "Eukaryotic small subunit ribosomal RNA", at positions 174 to 902 of the family's 1831-position model. The record is from RNAcentral. Lineage: Eukaryota; Metazoa; Nematoda; Chromadorea; Rhabditida; Heteroderidae.